GAUGAAGAACGUAGCGAAAUGCGAUAAGUAAUGUGAAUUGCAGAAUUCAGUGAAUCAUCGAAUCUUUGAACGCACCUUGCGCCCUUUGGCUAUUCCGAAGGGCAUGCCUGUUUGAGUAUCAUGAACACCUCAACUCUUCACGGCUUGCCGUGAUGAGUUUGGACUUUGGGGGUCUUGCUGGCCUACGAGCCAGCUCCUCUCAAAUGUAUUAGCUUGCCGGUGUUUGGUGGCAUCACAGGUGUGAUAACUAUCUACGCUUGUGGUUUUCCACUAGGUAACCUUCAGCAAUGGAGGUUCACCGGAGCUCACAAAUGUCUCUCCUUGCCAAGGACAGAUUUUGACAAUUUGAUCUCAAAUCAGGUAGGACUACCCGCUGAACUUAAGCAUAUCAAUAAGCGGAGGA
This 403-nucleotide unclassified non-coding RNA is filed under the name soil metagenome. RNAcentral's name for it is "partial contains 5.8S ribosomal RNA, internal transcribed spacer 2, and large subunit ribosomal RNA". The stretch from base 1 to 121 matches the Rfam family "5.8S ribosomal RNA", at positions 35 to 154 of the family's 154-position model. The record is from RNAcentral.